Molecule: long non-coding RNA, 1879 nt
Filed under: Homo sapiens (human)
Lineage: Eukaryota; Metazoa; Chordata; Mammalia; Primates; Hominidae
Description: HSALNT0320235
Source: RNAcentral
AUGUGAAAUUAUUUUGAAAAGUGCUUGUUCAUAUCUUUUGCCCACUUUUUGAUGGGGUUGUUUGUUUGUUUUUUCUUAUAUAUUUGUUUAAGUUUCUUACAGAUGCUGUAAUUAAAUUUACUUAUGAAGUAGAAAAAGCAGUGUAAGUUAUAUCUAGAUUUGUAGACUUUGUUGCUGUUGUUAAUCACCCCUUUUGAUUAAACCUGUUUGAAAAAUCAUUUAUCUCUCAUUUUACAAAGUCUGUUAAUGGAAACCUGGCUCCUUUCUCUCCACUUAUGUUACUUGCCUGUUCUAAUAGGGCACAUAGUGCCGUAGAUGUAGAUGAAAAGGCAUAAUCCUCAACUGCCCUUGUCAUCUCCUACUUCAACUUAUUCCAUCCAUUCAAAUCCUUUAGUCUCUUUCUCAGAGAACAAAAGAUUUUGGAUGUUCAGAUUCAGGCACUUACUGAAUUUUUCUGCAUUGUAAAGGCUGGAGGAGAAAAGGUAUUUUUUUCUCUUGGAAGCUAGGAACAAUUUUGCUCCAACAUCACGUGAAACUGAAAAAGUGGGGCUGGGGGUGGAAGAGAUUGUUGCCCAGUGUGCUUCUUCCCUGGCCCAGACUGUGUUUCUAUACAAGUGGACCUCUGAGGACAUACAUUUACCUAACAUCACUUUCUCCAACUUAGGACAACACUGGGCUUCCUGGAAGCUCAGUUCUCCUUACAGGGCAGGCCCAGACUCCCUAUUUCCAGAGAAAUUUCAGGGAUGUUGCUCAAUUGUCAACAGAAGCAAGGGAAACCCAAGCAUCUUAUACUUUUUGUCUUUAUGAUAAUAGAUUUAGCUAGGAAAGUGAGGAUGGAUAAAUUUUGAAGGCUGGUCAACCUUAUAUUUCAUUGCUUAUCUAAGCAACUUCUUUUGUUUUUAAAUUUAACUUUCAUUUUAAGUUCAGGGAUACAUGUGCAUCUAGUUACUUAAUUGCUGCACACACUCAGCCUUAUCAGCCUUAACCUGAUGCCAUAAUGUAGCUUCAACGUAUCACUCUUAGAUUUAGAUCUUCAUCCAAUUCUUCUUUCCUGAACCCUUAGUUUAUAUCCAUGACUGCUUAGAGAUGUGUAGAUGCUACACGGAAGUCUUAAAUAUCCUUGAGCUCUAUAUUCACACAGCAAACUAUUUGGAUUUGCUUUUUAGCCACGCUCCUCAAACCUGUUCUUUUUUCCUGAAUAUCAAUUUUAAUAAAUUGUGCUACCAUCAACCCAGUCUCCUAUAUUAUUCUAGAUUAUUUUUCUUCACUCUACUUUGUUUCUAAACUAAUUGUUGUUUAUUAAAAUUAUCAGUUCUACCUUUCAGAAGUGCUUAAGUCUAUCUGGACAUUGAUUUGGUUCAAACCUCACCAUUUUAAAGAGCCAGCUUAUAAACUACCCCUGCUCUAAACAGGCUAUCCUAUCCAGCAAGGUCACUCAAUCCUGUGAACAGCCAGUGCCAUUCCAAGGGGAAGGCAUAUUAACUCAGAAAAUGCUGACACACCUGACCUUUCAUCCCUGCCACUCAGCAGUUCUACAGAAGACCAAUUUGUAUGCAAACAAUUCACUUACAAGCCAGAAUUCCUACAAGCAUAAUACAGUUUUUCUGUAAACUCUUAGUGAUAGAAUAUGUAUUUAUGAAUUCCUUGGGAAGGGUUGCAAACUCGAAUGACCACAAGGGCCAGCCAGGGAUGGAGUGGGAACUGUGGGCAGGAGGAGAUGCUUUGUAGAGUCCAGAGGUGGCAGUGACUGUUCAGCACCAGAAACAUUGCCAUAUGGGAACUCAGACUUCAGGUAGUUGGGUCUCCUGCAUUUUGAGAGAAGCUAGAAAUGUCUUGGUAUUUAAAUGUUCACAACUAACAUAGGAAUUUAAAAAAAAAA